CGUCAUUACACCUCUCGAGCUCAGCUCGGUGUUGAGGGACACCCCCCGGGGUGCUCUCGAAAUCUAGCGGUCACUUGGUUGGUCCUCGAGCGAAUAAAACUUUAUCGGUUCCGCUUCAGAAGACUCUAACCUCGUCUAACCGGACAAACUACAAAUCUACGAUUGACCUCGGAUCAGGUAGGGAUACCCGCUGAACUUAA
This 200-nucleotide unclassified non-coding RNA is filed under the name soil metagenome. RNAcentral describes it as "partial contains internal transcribed spacer 2 and large subunit ribosomal RNA". The record is from RNAcentral.